UACGUAGGGUGCAAGCGUUGUCCGGAAUUAUUGGGCGUAAAGAGCUCGUAGGCGGUCUGUUGCGUCCGCUGUGAAAACUCGGGGCUUAACCCCGAGCCUGCAGUGGAUACGGGCAGACUAGAGGUAGGUAGGGGAGAAUGGAAUUCCCGGUGUAGCGGUGAAAUGCGCAGAUAUCAGGAGGAACACCGGUGGCGAAGGCGGGUCUCUGGGCCGAUAUUGACGCUGAGGAGCGAAAGCGUGGGGAGCGAACAGG
This 253-nucleotide ribosomal RNA is filed under the name uncultured bacterium. RNAcentral describes it as "partial 16S ribosomal RNA". It matches the Rfam family "Bacterial small subunit ribosomal RNA", at positions 524 to 776 of the family's 1533-position model. The record is from RNAcentral.